AGUCGAAGUUUGAUUGGAAUUCUAUCUUGGUCAUCCGUCCGGAACGAAGGAGAUGCGUAUGCGCAUAUUUCUAUUUUCACACAAUAUUGCAAAAAUUCAGAGAAAGGCCUUUGGCUUUACAGUUUGAUGUUGAUGCUGCUCGACUGCUAUGUGCUGUGUAUUUUUAAGUAUUAAUCCCUACAGAUUUGAGGACCAUUUUAACCCAACGAGCAAUUGUCUCAUUAGAAACUUGUUUAAAGGGUCUGAUAAACUAAGGAGUAUUUAUGAGUGUAAAGACCUGUGCUGCAAAGUUCUCUGUAGAUAUACUUUCAAGGUCUUCACAACACAUAUGCUUUCGUCCUCGGGGAAUUCAAACAAAUCAAUUGGCUCCAAGUGUUUGCCUGGUUUGGUUGUCUUGAGCUUUUCACUAAUGGUUAUUAUGUAUCUGUCUGGUAAUUCUUGUAUCUCACGAACAUUCAUCUUGUGAAUUGUUUGUCCUCUCUGUCCAGUCGUCAAGCAUAAAAACAUCGUCAAUUUUGCAAACUGCUUGCACUGAUCAGCAAAUGCGCAUGUGCAUCUCAUGGGACUUCUUCGUGACAGGGACUGAUGACAAGAUAGAAUUGCUGUGAUACCUCAGUAACGAGCAUGUAAAAGCAAGAUUAUUUCUCCUUGAUUCGAGCUAUUGUUUUUUCAAAUAUUUU
This is a long non-coding RNA of Xenia sp. Carnegie-2017, 680 nucleotides long. RefSeq lists it as uncharacterized. Lineage: Eukaryota; Metazoa; Cnidaria; Anthozoa; Malacalcyonacea; Xeniidae. The record is from RefSeq and is a predicted model, not a curated record. The transcript is spliced from 3 exons.